This 27-nucleotide small RNA is filed under the name Bombyx mori (domestic silkworm). Its description in RNAcentral is "ovarian small RNA-33768". Lineage: Eukaryota; Metazoa; Arthropoda; Insecta; Lepidoptera; Bombycidae. The record is from RNAcentral.
UGCCGACGGCACGCAUAAUGCGUUGGA